GGGGUUGUGGUUCACUGGUAGAAAAUCUGCUUUGCAUGCAGAAGGUCCCAGAUUCAAUCCAAGCAUCCUCA
RNAcentral lists this transfer RNA (71 nucleotides) under Sphaerodactylus townsendi. RNAcentral's name for it is "tRNA-Ala". It matches the Rfam family "tRNA". From Rfam's summary of the family: Transfer RNA (tRNA) molecules are approximately 80 nucleotides in length. Their secondary structure includes four short double-helical elements and three loops (D, anti-codon, and T loops). Lineage: Eukaryota; Metazoa; Chordata; Lepidosauria; Squamata; Sphaerodactylidae. The record is from RNAcentral.